CCUACGGGAGGCAGCAGUGGGGAAUAUUGGACAAUGGGGGGAACCCUGAUCCAGCGACGCCGCGUGAGUGAAGAAGUAUUUCGGUAUGUAAAGCUCUAUCAGCAGGGAAGAAAAUGACGGUACCUGACUAAGAAGCCCCGGCUAACUACGGGCCAGCAGCCGCGGUAAUACGUAGGCGGCAAGCGUUAUCCGGAUUUUCUGGGUGUAAACGGAGCGUAGGCGGUGCAGCAAGUCUGAUGUGAAAGGUCGGGGCCCAACCCCGGGACUGCAUUGGAAACUGGUGGACUGGAGUAGAGGAGAGGUAAGCGGAAGUCCUGGUGUAGCGGUGAAAUGCGUAGAUAGUAGGAAGAACACCGGUGGCGAAGGCGGCUUACUGGACUGUAACUGACGUUGAGGCUCGAAAGCGUGGGGAGCGAACAGGAUUAGAUACCCCAGUAGUC
RNAcentral lists this ribosomal RNA (440 nucleotides) under uncultured bacterium. RNAcentral's name for it is "partial 16S ribosomal RNA". It matches the Rfam family "Bacterial small subunit ribosomal RNA", at positions 338 to 795 of the family's 1533-position model. The record is from RNAcentral.